Long non-coding RNA from Cyprinus carpio (common carp), 1697 nucleotides. Lineage: Eukaryota; Metazoa; Chordata; Actinopteri; Cypriniformes; Cyprinidae. The record is from Ensembl.
UUUUUUUGUUCUUUUUUUUUUUUUUUGGAAACAAAGGGCAGCAGGGGUGAACCUGGUGGAAAUGGAAGAACAGGACUCAGAGGAUCCAAAGUAAAUUUGCUAUUUGUUUCAUAUAAAAAUCUGAAAAAUCCUGAGACCAACAGUGAAAAUGCAUCUACUGUACCUGCAAAUACAUCUAAAUUCCAUGUAUCAUUUAAAAACUAUAUUACCAUAAUAACAGUUUAAGGAAAAAGUCAAUAAUGGAAAAAUUUGCAUGAAUCACAUUAAUUUGAGAAUUAUUUAUUUAUUAAAUGGCCCGUUUUAAAUUAGGUUUUAAAUCCUUAGAUUUUUUUAUUAUUAUUAUUGUCUCAUGUUUUAUGUUUUGUUUUAUGAAAAAGCUAUAUAUUUAACAUUGUGUGUUAUGUAUAAACAAAAUGUAAGUGGUCCUGUGUUGUUUGAUUAAAUUCAGUCACGUUUUUCUGUAUGCUCAGGGUCGAGCAGGCCAACAUGGUCACCCUGGUGUACCUGGAAUAGUGGGUUUCCGAGGUCCAGUUGGUGCAGAGGGACCAGAAGGAAAGCCUGGGUGUUUCUGGUUCUGUUGGAAGCCCAGGGGAUAAAGGACCUAAUGUAUGUUUCUCAUCAACCAAAAUCAAAAUAUUCUAUGAGAUAUAUUAGUCAGUUGAGAGCAGAUUGCUACUAUAAUAAAAGCUUGUUGUAAAGGCUGAUAGCUCUUUAAAAGAGCUAUUACCAACAUUAGACCUCAAGAAGGAGUAACACUUGAUACAGGCAUGUCGAGGUCAGAAAGAUCAUAGACUAUUAAACUUAACAAGGUCUUAAACAUCCUGUUGGGUUGGUCCUUCUGUCAUAGAGGAAUGAUCUCUGUUUCAGCAUGACAGCAAGACCCUGAAACAUGUUAAACUGGUAGACUGAAUCAUAUAUCUCUAUCUUGUGUCUGUUUUAUAUUUUUGUGUACCUUUACAAUUUCAGUUGUCAGCGUAAUUUUAGUAAGAUGUUUAAUUGAAUAAUCAGAAUGAAUUUCAGAAUGUCUUAGUAUUGCUUUAUUGACAGCAGCACAUGAGCUCCUUGAGCAAGUGUGUGUAAAACCUGAUGAUGUUGUAGUCCAGUAUCAUUUAAGAAUGAUCUAAAGAACAUCUUGUGCUUCAGUGAAAGAAAGAACAUUUUAAUCUAAAAGUCGUUAACAGGGUCAAUGUCAGAAAUUAGAUUAAUAGUCUAGAAAUAGUUAAGAAUCCUAAAUAUUUGUAUUCCUUUUACAUCAAACGGUAUUCAUUGUGGACUUUUUUAGUCUUUCACUCAUUUUUCAUGUCAUUUAUCAUAUAUCUUCUGUAAUAUUUGUCAUCUAAAGGGCCUGAAGGGGAUGAUUGGAGAUCAAGGAAAACAAGGCCCUCCAGGCUCACAGGUGAGCAUAACAAUAGGACAAACAAGGAUUGUGGAAAAAUGAACAUCUUACAAAGUAGUCAAAUUUUGAAAAGUAAACCAUCACAGAAAGUAUUUUCAUUCUUGUUCAUUAACAUCUGCUGAAAACACAACUGUUCAUCACCAGUUCAUGGUUUCUCGUCUCAUUAGGGCCCACCUGGACGACCAGGCCAAGAUGGUACUCAAGGUCCUCCUGGUGAGAAGGUAAGCCUCUCAAAGCAUUGUAUUGCUGUAAUAAUGUAAUUAAUGCAUAGUGUUCACAUGUAUCACCACUGUGUGCGUUU